This 567-nucleotide ribosomal RNA is filed under the name uncultured bacterium. RNAcentral's name for it is "bacterial SSU rRNA". It matches the Rfam family "Bacterial small subunit ribosomal RNA", at positions 338 to 916 of the family's 1533-position model. The record is from RNAcentral.
CCUACGGGAGGCAGCAGUGGGGAAUAUUGCGCAAUGGGCGAAAGCCUGACGCAGCGACGCCGCGUGAGGGAUGAAGGCCUUCGGGUCGUAAACCUCUUUCAGCAGGGAAGAAGCGCAAGUGACGGUACCUGCAGAAGAAGCACCGGCUAACUACGUGCCAGCAGCCGCGGUAAUACGUAGGGUGCAAGCGUUGUCCGGAAUUAUUGGGCGUAAGGAGCUCGUAGGCGGUCUGUCGCGUCUGCUGUGAAAACCUAGGGCUUAACUCUGGGCGUGCAGUGGGUACGGGCAGACUAGAGUGCGGUAGGGGAGACUGGAAUUCCUGGUGUAGCGGUGAAAUGCGCAGAUAUCAGGAGGAACACCGGUGGCGAAGGCGGGUCUCUGGGCCGUAACUGACGCUGAGGAGCGAAAGCAUGGGGAGCGAACAGGAUUAGAUACCCUGGUAGUCCAUGCCGUAAACGUUGGGCGCUAGGUGUGGGGCACAUUCCACGUGUUCUGUACCGCAGCUAACGCAUUAAGCGCCCGCCUGGGGAGUACGGCCGCAAGGCUAAAACUUAAAGGAAUUGACGG